RNAcentral lists this ribosomal RNA (505 nucleotides) under uncultured bacterium. RNAcentral's name for it is "partial 16S ribosomal RNA". It matches the Rfam family "Bacterial small subunit ribosomal RNA", at positions 28 to 507 of the family's 1533-position model. The record is from RNAcentral.
GACGAACGCUGGCGGCGUGCCUAAUACAUGCAAGUAGAACGCACAGUUUAUACCGUAGCUUGCUACACCAUAGACUGUGAGUUGCGAACGGGUGAGUAACGCGUAGGUAACCUGCCUGGUAGCGGGGGAUAACUAUUGGAAACGAUAGCUAAUACCGCAUAAUAUUAAUUAUUGCAUGAUAAUUGAUUGAAAGAUGCAACUGCAUCACUACCAGCUGGACCUGCGUUGUAUUAGCUAGUAGGUGAGGUAACGGCUCACCUAGGCGACGAUACAUAGCCGACCUGGGGAGGUGGACGGCCAACCUGGGAAUGGGACAAGGCCCAGAAUCCCAAGGGGGGGAGGAGGAGGGAAUCUUCGGGAAAGGACGGAAGGCUGAACGAAGAACGCCGCGUGGGGGAAGAAGGGUUUCGGAUCGGAAAGCUCUGUUGUAAGAGAAGAACGGGUGUGAGAGUGGAAAGUUCACACUGUGACGGUAUCUUACCAGAAAGGGACGGCUAACUACGUG